RNAcentral lists this ribosomal RNA (372 nucleotides) under uncultured organism. RNAcentral describes it as "bacterial SSU rRNA". It matches the Rfam family "Bacterial small subunit ribosomal RNA", at positions 526 to 896 of the family's 1533-position model. The record is from RNAcentral.
CGUAGGGGGCAAGCGUUGUCCGGAUUUAUUGGGCGUAAAGCGCGUGUAGGCGGCCAGGUAGGUCGGUUGUGAAAACUCGAGGCUCAACCUCGAGACGUCGACCGAAACCAUCUGGCUAGAGUCCGGAAGAGGAGAGUGGAAUUCCUGGUGUAGCGGUGAAAUGCGCAGAUAUCAGGAAGAACACCCGUGGCGAAGGCGGCUCUCUGGGACGGUACUGACGCUGAGACGCGAAAGCGUGGGGAGCGAACAGGAUUAGAUACCCUGGUAGUCCACGCCGUAAACGAUGGGAACUAGGUGUGGGCGGUGUCGACUCCGUCCGUGCCGAAGCUAACGCAUUAAGUUCCCCGCCUGGGGAGUACGGCCGCAAGGCUA